UACGUAUGGUGCGAGCGUUGUUCGGAAUUAUUGGGCGUAAAGGGCGUGUAGGCGGAGAACUAAGUGGGGAGUGAAAACUCCGGGCUCAACCCGGAGCCUGCUUUCCAAACUGGUUUUCUAGAGUGUAGAAGAGGCAAGGGGAAUUGGCAGUGUAGCGGUGAAAUGCGUAGAUAUUGCCAGGAACACCGGUGGCGAAGGCGCCUUGCUGGGCUACAACUGACGCUGAGGCGCGAAAGCGUGGGGAGCGAACAGG
Molecule: ribosomal RNA, 253 nt
Filed under: uncultured bacterium
Lineage: Bacteria
Description: partial 16S ribosomal RNA
Rfam family: Bacterial small subunit ribosomal RNA
Source: RNAcentral